UUAAUCGAAACCAAAGGAAGGAGGUAUGCUACUGUUAAUAGCAAAAAUGAAACUAUUUUCCGAUUAAA
RNAcentral lists this transfer RNA (68 nucleotides) under Cryptocephalus octoguttatus. RNAcentral's name for it is "tRNA-Asn". Lineage: Eukaryota; Metazoa; Arthropoda; Insecta; Coleoptera; Chrysomelidae. The record is from RNAcentral.